ACAAACCUACCAUAAACCUCUCACUCCCUCCGAUUCCCAAAUCCCAAAUGCCAAACCCAAACCCAAACCCCAAUUUCCGAAAUCAAGAUCUCUCUCUCCCUCCGAUUCCCAAAUCCCAACUGGGAAGAAGAUCAAGGUCUGAUAUCGGCAAAUCCGUCAUAAUUUUUGGUGGUUAUAAUGGAUUUGGACCAGAACGAGAACCGACUUUGAUGGAGGAUGGAGAAAAGUUUAAAUGGUAUUCUAUUCCAGUCCCUGAUGAUGAGGCAGAGGCAGAGGCAGAGGCAGAAAAAAAGCUGAGUCCGUUUUCCGUAGUGGAGCUUCCCCAACUGCAUUCCUUUGUAGCUCUAAAAUCAUCUAUAUAUUGUCUUAGCAACUAUACUACAGAGACGUGGAUUUUCGAUGGUUGUUGGAAGCUUGGUCCUCAAAUGAAUGUUCGUAGAUUUGCUCCUCACACCAUUGUCCUGAGCGGUAAGCUGUAUGUUUUAGGUGGUUUAUAUGAGGAUGCGAGAGAGGAAUACAUUUGGAUGGAGGUUCUUAACCCGAAACGCAGAGCCUGGAGACCAUUGCCCAAUCCUCCAUUACGGAUUAGUUCCUUUGGCAUGGUUUCUGUUGCUUUAGAGCGCACUAAACAAAUUAUUGUGAGUGCAUUCCUUAGGGGCGACUCCAAGUUCCGCCUUUGUUAUUCUUAUGAUAGUUGUGUGGUUUACAUAUAUAAUGUCCGUACUUGUUGUUGGACAGAACUUGAGCCUCCGACCAUCAAUCUACGUUGUGGGUCUCCAAUUACGCGCUCUAAUAGAGCUGUAGUAGGUGCGGAUGAUACCCUCUACUGGGCUUCGCUCAAUGAGGAUGAUAUGCUUUUAGUUGUCCAUGCUUACUGUCUAUAUAAAAAUGAGUGGUUCGAGGGCUUUAUCAGCCCUACGAGAAUCAUUGGGAUGAAAGAGGUUAUAAGUUAUAUGAAUGAUCCAACUCCUUUCCACUUAGGCGGUACCAAAUUCUGCCUUCUAUUUCAAUCCUACAUCCCUCAUCCGUGGAAACCAGGAAUGCGGAUAUCUGAAAUGAAGAAUGAUUGGUAUCUCCAUUCGGUUGUAUUUGAUUUUUCUCUAGAAUCAGAUCCGGAGGAGGAUUUCGGGGACCUGCAUAUUUCAGUCGUUUCAACCCAGACAUAUCGUCUGGAUCACAGCGUACGUCUCAAUGAUGCUGUGUUGAUGGAUGGUGGUGCCUUCAAUCGCACCUUGCAGAAGAAACCAAAGUUAUGUGCAGAUUAGUGUGGGUCACUUCCUUCAAGGUAGUAUCAACAGAGUUGGCUAACCGCACCCUGGCGCAUGAACUAUUUUUCCGUGAAAUUCUUAUGCUGGGACGUGCAGCAGACAAAGAGACCAUUACCCCAGUAAGAUGCUCAAGUAGAAUCAGAAACCAAUUCACUUGUCCACGAUGACCCAACUACAAGCUCUAUUUUAGUUUAUGAUUCUUCAUUGCAUAGCGAAGCAAUCAUAUUGUGAGUAAGCCAGUAAUUAGUUGCUUUGUUAGUUUGAUUGGUUGUAACACUUGUUAUUGAUACUAUUUAUCAAAAACACUUGUUAUUGAUACUGUACUGAUUAGUAGUUCUCUAGUUCACUAUUAAUUUCAGAUCCUUCUGAUUUUUAUUUCAA
This is an RNA transcript of Quercus robur (English oak), 1649 nucleotides long. RefSeq lists it as uncharacterized. The transcript is spliced from 4 exons. Lineage: Eukaryota; Viridiplantae; Streptophyta; Magnoliopsida; Fagales; Fagaceae. The record is from RefSeq and is a predicted model, not a curated record.